Molecule: non-coding RNA, 218 nt
Filed under: Desulfosporosinus sp.
Lineage: Bacteria; Bacillati; Bacillota; Clostridia; Eubacteriales; Desulfitobacteriaceae
Description: T-box sequence
Rfam family: T-box leader
About the family: Uncharged tRNA acts as the effector for transcription antitermination of genes in the T-box leader family. T-boxes are found upstream of many aminoacyl-tRNA synthetase genes and some amino acid biosynthetic genes usually in Gram-positive bacteria.
Source: RNAcentral
GUUUGGACGAUGAUGGGAAAGAGUACAAAGAGAAAUUGCAACAAGCGAAAAUGGGACAGUGGAAGCCAUUUGCAAGGAACCUUUGGAAGUGCGUCUCUGAGUUGAUCGGCAGAAACCUGAAGUAUGCCUAUCCGUAAUGACUGCGUUAAAGUUGUAAGCUGGAACGAACGGCACGUUCGUUCAAACAGAGUGGGACCGCGGAAUCUUUCGUCUCUGGA